AGUGAACGCUGGCGGCAGGCUUAACACAUGCAAGUCGAACGGCAGCACAGUAAGUGCUUGCUCUUACGGGUGGCGAGAGGCGGACGGGUGAGGAAUACAUCGGACUCUACUCUUUCGUGUAGGAUAACGUAGGGAAACUUACGCUAAUAUAGCAUACGACCUACGGGUGUAAGCAGGGGAGCUUUUGCGCUUUCGCGUGUGAACGCGCCGAUGUCGGAUUGGCUAGUUGGAGGGGUAAAGGCCCACCAGGGCGACGAUCCGUACCUGGUCUGAGAGGAUGAUCAGCGACACUGGGACUGAGACACGGUCCUGGCUCCUACGGGAGGCAGCAGUGGGGAAUGGUGGACAAUGGGCGGAAGCCUGAUCCAGCCGUACCGCGUGGGUGAAGAAGGCCUUCGGGUUGUAAAGCCGUUUUGUUGGUGAAGAAACGCAGCAGGUUGAUACCCCGCUGUUCUGACGGUACCCGAAGAAUAAGCACCGGCUAACUACGUG
Molecule: ribosomal RNA, 492 nt
Filed under: uncultured bacterium
Lineage: Bacteria
Description: partial 16S ribosomal RNA
Rfam family: Bacterial small subunit ribosomal RNA
Source: RNAcentral